RNAcentral lists this ribosomal RNA (407 nucleotides) under Proteus vulgaris. RNAcentral's name for it is "bacterial SSU rRNA". It matches the Rfam family "Bacterial small subunit ribosomal RNA", at positions 991 to 1399 of the family's 1533-position model. The record is from RNAcentral. Lineage: Bacteria; Pseudomonadati; Pseudomonadota; Gammaproteobacteria; Enterobacterales; Morganellaceae.
UGGGAUCCUUUAGAGAUAGAGGAGUGCCUUCGGGAACUCUGAGACAGGUGCUGCAUGGCUGUCGUCAGCUCGUGUUGUGAAAUGUUGGGUUAAGUCCCGCAACGAGCGCAACCCUUAUCCUUUGUUGCCAGCGCGUGAUGGCGGGAACUCAAAGGAGACUGCCGGUGAUAAACCGGAGGAAGGUGGGGAUGACGUCAAGUCAUCAUGGCCCUUACGAGUAGGGCUACACACGUGCUACAAUGGCAGAUACAAAGAGAAGCGACCUCGCGAGAGCAAGCGGAACUCAUAAAGUCUGUCGUAGUCCGGAUUGGAGUCUGCAACUCGACUCCAUGAAGUCGGAAUCGCUAGUAAUCGUAGAUCAGAAUGCUACGGUGAAUACGUUCCCGGGUCUUGUACACACCGAAACA